AUACGGAGGGUGCAAGCGUUACUCGGAAUCACUGGGCGUAAAGCGCGCGCAGGCGGUUAGUAAAGUCAGAAGUGAAAGCCCACAGCUUAACUGUGGAACUGCUUCUGAAACUCACUAACUAGAGUCUGGGAGAGGUAAGUGGAAUUAGUGGUGUAGGGGUAAAAUCCGCAGAGAUCACUAGGAAUACCAAAAGCGAAGGCAACUUACUGGAACAGUACUGACGCUGAGGCGCGAAAGCGUGGGGAGCAAACAGGAUUAGAUACCCUAGUAGUCCC
This 275-nucleotide ribosomal RNA is filed under the name uncultured bacterium. RNAcentral describes it as "partial 16S ribosomal RNA". It matches the Rfam family "Bacterial small subunit ribosomal RNA", at positions 523 to 797 of the family's 1533-position model. The record is from RNAcentral.